This 330-nucleotide ribosomal RNA is filed under the name uncultured Anaerolineaceae bacterium. RNAcentral's name for it is "bacterial SSU rRNA". It matches the Rfam family "Bacterial small subunit ribosomal RNA", at positions 1042 to 1382 of the family's 1533-position model. The record is from RNAcentral. Lineage: Bacteria; Bacillati; Chloroflexota; Anaerolineae; Anaerolineales; Anaerolineaceae.
UGCAUGGCUGUCGUCAGCUCGUGUCGUGAGAUGUUCGGUUAAGUCCGCUAACGAGCGCAACCUCGCUGUGUGUUACAAGUGUCACACGGAACUGCCGGGUCCAUAAAACCGGAGGAAGGUGGGGAUGACGUCAAGUCAGCAUGGCCUUUAUAUCCUGGGCUACACACACGCUACAAUGGGAAGGGACAAUAGGUUGCGAAGCCGCGAGGCGGAGCCAAUCCAGCAAAACUUCCCUCAGUUCAGAUUGCAGGCUGCAACCCGCCUGCAUGAAGUUGGAGUUGCUAGUAAACGCAGGUCAGCCAUACUGCGUUGAAUACGUUCCCGGGGCUU